CCUACGCGUGGCAGCAGUGAGGAAUAUUGGUCAAUGGGCUUACGCCUGAACCAGCCAAGUCGCGUGAGGGAAGACUGCCCUAUGGGUUGUAAACCUCUUUUGUCAGGGAGCAACGCCGGCUACGUGUAGCCGGACUGAGAGUACCUGAAGAAAAAGCAUCGGCUAACUCCGUGCCAGCAGCCGCGGUAAUACGGGGGAUGCGAGCGUUAUUCGGAUUUAUAGGGUUUAAAGGGUGCGUAGGCGGAAUGCCAAGUCAGCGGUAAAAUCGCGGGGCUCAACCUCGCUCCGCCGUUGAAACUGGCGUCCUUGAGUGGGCGGGAAGUAUGAGGAAUGCGGGGUGUAGAGGUGAAAUGAAUAGAUAUCACGCAGAACUCCGAUUGCGAAGGCAGCAUACCGGCGCCCAACUGACGCUGAAGCACGAAAGCGUGGGUAUCGAACAGGAUUAGAUACCCCUGUAGUC
RNAcentral lists this ribosomal RNA (460 nucleotides) under uncultured bacterium. RNAcentral describes it as "partial 16S ribosomal RNA". It matches the Rfam family "Bacterial small subunit ribosomal RNA", at positions 338 to 795 of the family's 1533-position model. The record is from RNAcentral.